RNAcentral lists this ribosomal RNA (465 nucleotides) under uncultured bacterium. Its description in RNAcentral is "partial 16S ribosomal RNA". It matches the Rfam family "Bacterial small subunit ribosomal RNA", at positions 28 to 507 of the family's 1533-position model. The record is from RNAcentral.
GACGAACGCUGGCGGCGUGCUUAACACAUGCAAGUCGAACGGAAAGGCCCUGCUUGCAGGGUACUCGAGUGGCGAACGGGUGAGUAACACGUGGGUGAUCUGCCCUGCACUUCGGGAUAAGCCUGGGAAACUGGGUCUAAUACCGGAUAGGAGCCAUUUUUAGUGUGAUGGUUGGAAAGUUUUUUCGGUGUAGGAUGAGCUCGCGGCCUAUCAGCUUGUUGGUGGGGUAAUGGCCUACCAAGGCGGCGACGGGUAGCCGGCCUGAGAGGGUGGACGGCCACAGUGGGACUGAGAUACGGCCCAGACUCCUACGGGAGGCAGCAGUGGGGAAUAUUGCACAAUGGGCGCAAGCCUGAUGCAGCGACGCCGCGUGGGGGAUGACGGCCUUCGGGUUGUAAACGCCUUUCGCUAGGGACGAAGCUUUUUGUGACAGUACCUAGAUAAGAAGCACCGGCUAACUACGUG